GUGGCCAGCCGCCGCGGUAAUACGGAGGGUGCAAGCGUUGUCCGGAAUCGCUGGGCGUAAAGGGUUCGCAGGCGGGGCAGCAAGUCGGAGGUGAAAGCCCGUGGCUCAACCACGGAAGUGCCUUCGAAACUGUUGCUCUUGAGUCCCGGAGAGGUUGCCGGAAUUCGUGGUGUAGCGGUGAAAUGCGUAGAUAUCACGAGGAACACCAGAGGCGAAAGCGGGCAACUGGACGGGUACUGACGCUCAGGCACGAAAGCGCGGGGAGCAAACAGGAUUAGAUACCCGUGUAGUCC
Molecule: ribosomal RNA, 293 nt
Filed under: uncultured bacterium
Lineage: Bacteria
Description: partial 16S ribosomal RNA
Rfam family: Bacterial small subunit ribosomal RNA
Source: RNAcentral